CACGUAGUUAGCCGGCGCUUCUUCUGCAGGUACCGUCACUUGCGCUUCUUCCCUGCUGAAAGAGGUUUACAACCCGAAGGCCGUCAUCCCUCACGCGGCGUCGCUGCAUCAGGCUUUCGCCCAUUGUGCAAUAUUCCCCCACUGCUGCCUCCCGUAGGAGUCUGGGCCGUGUCUCAGUCCCAGUGUGGCCGGUCGCCCUCUCAGGCCGGCUACCCGUCGACGCCUUGGUAGCCGUUACCCCACCAACAAGCUGAUAGGCCGCGAGCCCAUCCCUCACCGAAAAACCUUUCCAACACCCACCAUGCGAUGAGCGCUCAUAUCCGGUAUUAGACCCCGUUUCCAAGGCUUAUCCCGAAGUGAAGGGCAGGUUGCUCACGUGUUACUCACCCGUUCGCCACUGAUCCACCCAGCAAGCUGGGCUUCACCGUUCGACUUGCAUGUGUUAAGCACGCCGCCAGCGUCGUCCUGCGCACGGAGUCAACUAC
RNAcentral lists this ribosomal RNA (485 nucleotides) under uncultured Promicromonosporaceae bacterium. RNAcentral describes it as "partial 16S ribosomal RNA". The record is from RNAcentral. Lineage: Bacteria; Bacillati; Actinomycetota; Actinomycetes; Micrococcales; Promicromonosporaceae.